This 440-nucleotide ribosomal RNA is filed under the name uncultured bacterium. Its description in RNAcentral is "partial 16S ribosomal RNA". It matches the Rfam family "Bacterial small subunit ribosomal RNA", at positions 338 to 795 of the family's 1533-position model. The record is from RNAcentral.
CCUACGGGGGGCAGCAAUGGGGGAUAUUGCACAAUGGGCGGAACCCUGAUGCAGCGACGCCGCGUGGGUGAAGAAGCGCCUCGGCGCGUAAAGCCCUGUCAGCAGGGAAGAAAAUGACGGUACCUGAAGAAGAAGCCCCGGCUAACUACGUGCCAGCAGCCGCGGUAAUACGUAGGGGGCAAGCGUUAUCCGGAUUUACUGGGUGUAAAGGGGGCGCAGACGGCAAUGCAAGCCAGGAGUGAAAGCCCGGGGCCCAACCCCGGGACUGCUCUUGGAACUGCGUGGCUAGAGUGCAGGAGGGGCAGGCGGAAUUCCUGGUGUAGCGGUGAAAUGCGUAGAUAUCAGGAGGAACACCGGUGGCGAAGGCGGCCUGCUGGACUGCAACUGACGUUGAGGCCCGAAAGCGUGGGGAGCAAACAGGAUUAGAUACCCGGGUAGUC